CCUACGAGUGGCAGCAGUGGGGGAUAUUGCACAAUGGGGGAAACCCUGAUGCAGCAACGCCGCGGGAGUGAAGAAGUAUUUCGGUAUGUAAAGCUCUAUCAGCAGGGAAGAGAAUGACGGUACCUGACUAAGAAGCCCCGGCUAACUACGUGCCAGCAGCCGCGGUAAUACGUAGGGGGCGAGCGUUACCCGGAUUUACUGGGGGUAAGGGGAGCGUAGACGGCUGGUCAAGUCUGAAGUGGAAGCCCGGGGCUUAACCCCGGAACGGCUUUGGAAACUGAGCAGCUAGAUUGCUGGAGAGGUAAGCGGAAUUCCUAGUGUAGCGGUGAAAUGCGUAGAUAUUAGGAGGAACACCAGUGGCGAAGGCGGCUUACUGGACAGUAACUGACGUUGAGGCUCGAAAGCGUGGGGAGCAAACAGGAUUAGAUACCCCUGUAGUC
Molecule: ribosomal RNA, 440 nt
Filed under: uncultured bacterium
Lineage: Bacteria
Description: partial 16S ribosomal RNA
Rfam family: Bacterial small subunit ribosomal RNA
Source: RNAcentral